RNAcentral lists this ribosomal RNA (492 nucleotides) under uncultured bacterium. RNAcentral's name for it is "partial 16S ribosomal RNA". It matches the Rfam family "Bacterial small subunit ribosomal RNA", at positions 29 to 507 of the family's 1533-position model. The record is from RNAcentral.
AGUGAACGCUGGCGGUAGGCCUAACACAUGCAAGUCGAACGGCAGCACAGUAAGAGCUUGCUCUUACGGGUGGCGAGUGGCGGACGGGUGAGGAAUACAUCGGAAUCUACUUUUUCGUGGGGGAUAACGUAGGGAAACUUACGCUAAUACCGCAUACGACCUACGGGUGAAAGCAGGGGAUCUUCGGAUCUUGCGCGAUUGUAUGAGCCGAUGUCGGAUUAGCUAGUUGGCGGGGUAAAGGCCCACCAAGGCGACGAUCCGUAGCUGGUCUGAGAGGAUGAUCAGCCACACUGGAACUGAGACACGGUCCAGACUCCUACGGGAGGCAGCAGUGGGGAAUAUUGGACAAUGGGCGCAAGCCUGAUCCAGCCAUACCGCGUGGGUGAAGAAGGCCUUCGGGUUGUAAAGCCCUUUUGUUGGGAAAGAAAAGCAGCAGGUUAAUACCCCGCUGUUCUGACGGUACCCAAAGAAUAAGCACCGGCUAACUUCGUG